GUCUGGUUAAUUCCGAUAACGAACUAGACCUUAACCUGCUAACUAGUUUAUUCUAUUUUUAUAGUUUAUAACUUCUUAGAGGGACUAUGUAACAAAAUACACGGAAGUUUGAGGCAAUAACAGGUCUGUGAUGCCCUUAUAUGUCCCGGGCUGCACGCGUGCUACACUGAUGUAUACAGCAAGUGCCUAACUAGAUAUGGUAUGGCAAUCUCGAAUAUGCAUCGUGAUGGGGAUAGAUCUUUGCAAUUAUAGAUCUUGAACGAGGAAUUCCUAGUAAGUGCAAGUCAUCAUCUUGCAUUGAUUAUGUCCCUGCCCUUUGUACACACCGCCCGUCGCUCCUACCGAUACCGGGUGAUCCGGUGAACCUUUUGGACCCUUCACGAGGAAAGAUAAGUAAACCAUAUCACCUAGAGGAAGGAGAAGUCGUAACAAGGUUUCCGUAGGUGAACCUGCRGAAGGAUCA
RNAcentral lists this ribosomal RNA (463 nucleotides) under uncultured ciliate. RNAcentral's name for it is "SSU rRNA". It matches the Rfam family "Eukaryotic small subunit ribosomal RNA". The record is from RNAcentral. Lineage: Eukaryota; Ciliophora.